GACGUAGGGCGCGAGCGUUGUCCGGAUUUAUUGGGCGUAAAGAGCUCGUAGGCGGCUUGUCGCGUCGUCCGUGAAAACUUGGGGCUCAACCCCAAGCUUGCGGUCGAUACGGGCAGGCUCGAGUUCGGUAGGGGAGACUGGAAUUCCUGGUGUAGCGGUGAAAUGCGUAGAUAUCGAGAGGAACACCUGCGGCGAAGGCGGGUUGCUGGGCCGACACUGACGCUGAUGCGCGAAAGCCAGGGGAGCGAACGGG
Molecule: ribosomal RNA, 253 nt
Filed under: uncultured bacterium
Lineage: Bacteria
Description: partial 16S ribosomal RNA
Rfam family: Bacterial small subunit ribosomal RNA
Source: RNAcentral